RNAcentral lists this ribosomal RNA (481 nucleotides) under uncultured bacterium. RNAcentral's name for it is "partial 16S ribosomal RNA". It matches the Rfam family "Bacterial small subunit ribosomal RNA", at positions 28 to 523 of the family's 1533-position model. The record is from RNAcentral.
GACGAACGCUGGCGGCGUGCCUAACACAUGCAAGUCGAGCGAUGAAGUUUUUUCGGAAAUGGAUUAGCGGCGAACGGGUGAGGAACACGUGAUGAAUCUGCCCUCCACUUUGGGAUAACACAGGGAAACCUGUGCUAAUACCGAAUAUUGAAACAUAAGUGGCAUCACUGAGUUUUGAAAGAAUUUCGGUGGAGGAUGACUUCGCGGCCUAUCAGCUAGUUGGUGAGGUAAUGGCUCACCAAGGCAACGACAGGUAGCCGGCCUGAGAGGGCGACCGGCCACACUGGGACUGAGACACGGCCCAGACUCCUACGGGAGGCAGCAGUGGGGAAUAUUGGGCAAUGGAGGAAACUCUGACCCAGCGACGCCGCGUGCGGGAUGAAGGCCUUCGGGUUGUAAACCGCUUUCAGUAGAGAAGAAGCGAAAGUGACGGUACCUACAAAAGAAGCACCGGCUAACUAUGUGCCAGCCGCCGCCGUAA